This 492-nucleotide ribosomal RNA is filed under the name uncultured bacterium. Its description in RNAcentral is "partial 16S ribosomal RNA". It matches the Rfam family "Bacterial small subunit ribosomal RNA", at positions 29 to 507 of the family's 1533-position model. The record is from RNAcentral.
AGUGAACGCUGGCGGUAGGCCUAACACAUGCAAGUCGAACGGCAGCACAGUAAGAGCUUGCUCUUACGGGUGGCGAGUGGCGGACGGGUGAGGAAUACAUCGGAAUCUACUUUUUCGUGGGGGAUACCGUAGGGAAACUUACGCUAAUAUCGCAUACGACCUACGGGUGAAAGCAGGGGAUCUUCGGACCUUGCGCGAUUGAAUGAGCCGAUGUCGGAUUAGCUAGUUGGCGGGGUAAAGGCCCACCAAGGCGACGAUCCGUAGCUGGUCUGAGAGGAUGAACAGCCACACUGGAACUGAGACACGGUCCAGACUCCUACGGGAGGCAGCAGUGGGGAAUAUUAGACAAAGGGCGCAAGCCUGAUCCAGCCAUACCGCGUGGGUGAAGAAGGCCUUCGGGUUGUAAAGCCCUUUUGUUGGGAAAGAAAAGCAGCAGGUUAAUACCCCGCUGUUCUGACGGUACCCAAAGAAUAAGCACCGGCUAACUUCGUG